GUUGUCCGGAUUUAUUGGGCGUAAAGAGCGUGUAGGCGGCCAGGUAGGUCAGCUGUGAAAACUCGAGGCUCAACCUCGAGACGUCGGUUGAAACCACCUGGCUAGAGUCCGGAAGAGGAGAGUGGAAUUCCUGGUGUAGCGGUGAAAUGCGCAGAUAUCAGGAAGAACACCCGUGGCGAAGGCGGCUCUCUGGGACGGUACUGACGCUGAGACGCGAAAGCGUGGGGAGCGAACAGG
RNAcentral lists this ribosomal RNA (237 nucleotides) under uncultured bacterium. RNAcentral describes it as "partial 16S ribosomal RNA". It matches the Rfam family "Bacterial small subunit ribosomal RNA", at positions 540 to 776 of the family's 1533-position model. The record is from RNAcentral.